GACGGUCAGCAGCAGCAGCCGGGUCCCCGGACCCCCGAGCAUCUUCAGACGGUGAGGCAACUUGCCACCGAGUUUGGUUCCCUCCGCAACCUGCGGGCGGAGUCCCUUUCAGUGCCGCCAAGAAGCUUAUUAUAUCCUUUUCUACCUGUCUGCUCUUUGAGAACACAUUUUACUUCUCUUGGAACAUGAUGUCAAAGAAUGAAGCUGGAGGAAAGUUUAAGCUUGAAUCCUCAAGGGAAAAAAGACACCACAGGAAACAAAUACUAGAACCACAGCUUCUCCAGGUGUUGAACUAAAUGGUUAUUAAGUUAAUUGCAUGGAACGCUGCAUGGAGCACGUGAUAGAUGCUCAAACAAUACCUGUUGGGAGGUUAGAUGAUGAAGUACCCACAAGCCAGAGGUGACAAUUCCUGGGGUCCCGUUGGACUGGAGUGACCCACACAGGGCAUGUGACAGCCCCAGCAAGGUCAACUGCAUGGAAGAGCAGAGAAGCAAUAAAGAUUUCAAUGGCCAGGCUCCAUGCCUAGGGGAGCAAAAAGGAACGCAGGCUUGUCUGGUUCUUCUUACCAAAUUUACAAAUUCAGUAAGUCACUUCAUUUCUCCAGAGGAGAGACAGAAUGAGAAAAAUGUCAGAGAGUUACCAGGACUGUGCUUGUGGAAACUCAUUAGGUACAGAGUAAAGAUGUCCCCUUUCUUAAUCUACAGUCAUAAUCAUUACUAGUUAUAUUCUCUAGAAACAAACCUUUGUGAAAUUUUUUAAAUCUUAGAA
Molecule: long non-coding RNA, 768 nt
Organism: Balaenoptera ricei (Rice's whale)
Lineage: Eukaryota; Metazoa; Chordata; Mammalia; Artiodactyla; Balaenopteridae
Exons: 4
Source: RefSeq, a predicted model, not a curated record